ACAGGGAUUGCCCCAGUAACGGCGAGUGAAGCGGCAACAGCUCAAAUUUGAAAUCUGGCCCCUCCCCCGGGGGGGCCCGAGUUGUAAUUUGCAGAGGAUGCUUCUGGCGAGGUGCCUUCCGAGUUCCCUGGAACGGGACGCCGCAGAGGGUGAGAGCCCCGUCUGGUCGGACACCGAGCCUCUGUGAAGCUCCUUCGACGAGUCGAGUAGUUUGGGAAUGCUGCUCUAAAUGGGAGGUAUAUGUCUUCUAAAGCUAAAUACCGGCCAGAGACCGAUAGCGCACAAGUAGAGUGAUCGAAAGAUGAAAAGCACUUUGAAAAGAGGGUUAAACAGUACGUGAAAUUGUUGAAAGGGAAGCGCUCACGACCAGACCUGGUCCCGGCGAAUCACCCGGCGUUCUCGCCGGUGCACUUCGACGGGCUUCCAGGCCAGCAUCAGUCCGCGCCGGGGGACAAAGGCGGCGGGAACGUGGCUCCCCAGGGAGUGUUAUAGCCCGCCGCGCAAUGCCCCGGGGGCGGACUGAGGACCGCGCGUCACCGCAAGGAUGCUGGCGUAAUGGUCGUCAGCGACCCGUCUUGAAACACGGACCAAGGAGUCGUCCUCGUAUGCGAGUGUUGGGGCGUCAAACCCCCCGCGCGUAAUGAAAGUGAACGGCAGGUGAGAGCCCUCGCGGGCGCAUCAUCGACCGAUCCUGAUGUUCUCGGAUGGAUUUGAGUAGGAGCAUACGGGGCCGGACCCGAAAGAAGGUGAACUAUGCCUGUGUAGGGUGAAGCCAGAGGAAACUCUGGUGGAGGCUCGCAGCGGUUCUGACGUGCAAAUCGAUCGUCAAACAUGGGCAUGGGGGCGAAAGACUAAUCGA
RNAcentral lists this ribosomal RNA (859 nucleotides) under Moelleriella sp. MDYS2010-27. RNAcentral's name for it is "eukaryotic LSU rRNA". It matches the Rfam family "Eukaryotic large subunit ribosomal RNA", at positions 68 to 938 of the family's 3401-position model. The record is from RNAcentral. Lineage: Eukaryota; Fungi; Ascomycota; Sordariomycetes; Hypocreales; Clavicipitaceae. RNAcentral also lists the same sequence under 1 other name.